GCCGGAGUGGUGAAAUUGGUAAACGCAGCGGACUCAAAAUCCGCCGGGAGCAAUCCCUUGAGAGUUCGAUUCUCUCCUCCGGCACCA
This 87-nucleotide transfer RNA is filed under the name Olavius algarvensis associated proteobacterium Delta 3. RNAcentral describes it as "tRNA-Leu-CAA". It matches the Rfam family "tRNA". From Rfam's summary of the family: Transfer RNA (tRNA) molecules are approximately 80 nucleotides in length. The record is from RNAcentral. Lineage: Bacteria; Deltaproteobacteria.